This 505-nucleotide ribosomal RNA is filed under the name uncultured bacterium. Its description in RNAcentral is "bacterial SSU rRNA". It matches the Rfam family "Bacterial small subunit ribosomal RNA", at positions 62 to 560 of the family's 1533-position model. The record is from RNAcentral.
UCGAACGGUAGUCCCUUCGGGGAUGAGAGUGGCGCACGGGAUGCGUAACACGUGGGUAAUCUGCCUUUGAGUUGGGGACAACCUUGGGAAACCAGGGCUAAUACCCGAUACGUCUCUUGGAGGUGCGCCUUUGAGAGAGAAAGACCCGCAAGGGUUGCUCGAAGAUGAGCUCGCGUCCCAUCAGCUAGUUGGCGAGGUAAUGGCUCACCAAGGCGAAGACGGGUAACUGGUCUGAGAGGAUGAUCAGUCACACUGGAACUGAGACACGGUCCAGACUCCUACGGGAGGCAGCAGUGGGGAAUAUUGCGCAAUGGGCGGAAGCCUGACGCAUCCACUACCGCGUUGAGCGAUGAAGGUCUUCGGAUCGUAAAGCUCUGUGGGGAGAGAAGAAUAGACCACGUGAAGAGCGUGGGAUGACGGUAUCUCCUUAUCAAGCACCGGCUAACUCUGUGCCAUCAUCCGCGGUAUUACACAGGGUGCAAACGUUGCUCGCAAUUAUUGGGCG